RNAcentral lists this ribosomal RNA (376 nucleotides) under uncultured bacterium. Its description in RNAcentral is "bacterial SSU rRNA". It matches the Rfam family "Bacterial small subunit ribosomal RNA", at positions 524 to 898 of the family's 1533-position model. The record is from RNAcentral.
UACGGAGGGUGCAAACGUUGCUCGGAAUCACUGGGCGUAAAGCGCUCGUAGGCGGUUUGUCAAGUCAGAUGUGAAAUCCCCGGGCUUAACCUGGGAAGUGCAUUUGAAACUGGCAAGCUAGAGGUUGGGAGGGGGUAGCGGAAUUCCCGGUGUAGAGGUGAAAUUCGUAGAUAUCGGGAGGAACACCAGAGGCGAAGGCGGCUACCUGGACCAAUACUGACGCUGAGGAGCGAAAGCGUGGGGAGCAAACAGGAUUAGAUACCCUGGUAGUCCACGCUGUAAACGAUGAGUGCUAGACGUUGCGCGUUUUAACACGUGCAGUGUCGCAGCUAACGCAUUAAGCACUCCGCCUGGGGAGUACGGCCGCAAGGCUAAA